This 255-nucleotide ribosomal RNA is filed under the name uncultured bacterium. Its description in RNAcentral is "partial 16S ribosomal RNA". It matches the Rfam family "Bacterial small subunit ribosomal RNA", at positions 524 to 776 of the family's 1533-position model. The record is from RNAcentral.
UACGGGGGGAGCAAGCGUUGUUCGGAUUUACUGGGCGUAAAGGGCGCGUAGGCGGCCACCGCAAGUCGGUUGUGAAAUCUCCGGGCUUAACCCGGAAAGGUCAAUCGAUACUGCGGGGCUAGAGUGCAGAAGGGGCAACUGGAAUUCUCGGUGUAGCGGUGAAAUGCGUAGAUAUCGAGAGGAACACCUGCGGCGAAGGCGGGUUGCUGGGCUGACACGUGACGCUGAGGCGCGAAAGCCAGGGGAGCGAACGGG